Molecule: unclassified non-coding RNA, 273 nt
Filed under: Viviania elegans
Lineage: Eukaryota; Viridiplantae; Streptophyta; Magnoliopsida; Geraniales; Francoaceae
Description: partial contains tRNA-Leu and trnL-trnF intergenic spacer
Rfam family: tRNA (bases 226-273)
Source: RNAcentral
CCUCUAUCCCCAAAUUUGCUUUUAACCUGUGUUUUUUUGUUAGCUAGUUUUUUUUGAAUUCGUUAUGUUUUUCAUUCGUUCUACUCUUUCUUAACACUAACGUACUCGAAUAGAACCUUUUUUAUCUAUAAUAAGAAAGGCCUUUAAUACUUUAUUUUCGUCGUUUUAAUUGACAUAGACUCAGUCAUCUAGUAAAAUGAAAAUGAGGCUGAUGCAUCGGAAAUGGUCGGGAUAGCUCAGUUGGUAGAGCAGAGGACUGAAAAUCCUCGUGUC